UAGAAAGUGGUGUAGUGGAAGCACCAAGAGUUUUGAUCUCUUGAGGAUGGGUUCGACUCCCUUCUCUCUAG
Molecule: transfer RNA, 71 nt
Filed under: Coregonus clupeaformis (lake whitefish)
Lineage: Eukaryota; Metazoa; Chordata; Actinopteri; Salmoniformes; Salmonidae
Description: tRNA-Gln
Rfam family: tRNA
About the family: Transfer RNA (tRNA) molecules are approximately 80 nucleotides in length. Their secondary structure includes four short double-helical elements and three loops (D, anti-codon, and T loops).
Source: RNAcentral